Molecule: long non-coding RNA, 178 nt
Organism: Terrapene triunguis (Three-toed box turtle)
Lineage: Eukaryota; Metazoa; Chordata; Testudines; Emydidae
Exons: 3
Source: RefSeq, a predicted model, not a curated record
GGAAGGCCGGGGUCGGAAGUGGAACGAACUCCCAGAUGCCUUGACACACAUGCAGAUUCCGGCGGGUCCAGAGAAGACCAGUAACACAAGAGAGGAAGGGCUGAAGGAUUCUGUCACUCCUGUAUUGUUACAAGUUUAAGGAAUAAUACAUGGACAUGUCCUUAUUGCCGGGCUUAUC